This 3565-nucleotide long non-coding RNA is filed under the name Homo sapiens (human). RNAcentral's name for it is "non-protein coding lnc-C1QB-2:1". Lineage: Eukaryota; Metazoa; Chordata; Mammalia; Primates; Hominidae. The record is from RNAcentral.
AGGCUGUGGGGAAAGCAUUCCAGGCAGAGGGUCCCUGAGAAACCCUGACACUCAGGGCUUGGUCUGAAGUGGCUCCUGGGUGAGCAGGGGACUCAGACACCCAGGGAACGAGGCAGAGUAUGGUGCUGCCACAAAUGAGAUCCAUCCAGGCAAAGUGCUUUGAGAAUAUGAGGAAAAAGCCAUCUUGUAUGACUGGGUAUCUCAGAAGGCUUCAAGGAGGGAGUAGCAUUUGAAUUAGGCCUUGAAGAGUGAGUAGGAUUUGGAUGGGUGAAGGUAGGGAGGAAGGGAAUUGUAGGCAGAGAGAACUAUACGAAUAAAGGCCCCAAGGUGUGACAGUACAAGGCAUAUUUGAUGGGUAGAAAGGGCUUUGCAGUGUAUAGGGAUUAGGACACAAUUUUCCCCUAUUUAUUCACCUGUUCAUUUUUUAUCGCAUGCCUAAUCGGGGUCUACACUGGGCAUACAGCUGCCAGGUGAGGAUUCCUGGGACUUCCUUUAGAAGAGCCCUGUUCCCUCCCCAACCCCAGUCCCCGCUGGGGCUUCCUGCCAGCAGGUCUGCUGGGAGUGGCAGAAGGUGUCCCUGGAAUGCCUUCUUUGCAGCAGCUGCCCGCACCCAAGUCUGUUUCUCUGACUCUUUCUAGAGUAUGAUAGGUGUGAUUGUGAAUGUUCCCCUGCCCCAGUUUCUCCAAGCCUGCCUGUCUCCAGAUCCCUGUUCUCCUUGGUCUCUCCUUACCCACCUCAGUCCCACUUCUGCCUGCCCAGCAGGAACCCCCAACCUAGCCUUCUUUGGGGACCUUGCUCUGUUCUCUCCCAGUGGCCAACCCGCAUCUGCGAGGGAUCUGGAGGCAGUUCCGCAGUGAGCAUGAUUGCUGCGAUGCUAUCGGACGUAAUGGGAUUUUUAAUAUUUAGCUUGGAUGGGGAGAGGGGCUGCUAGCCAGCUCGGGGUGGUUGCACGCACAUGUUGAUUCGCUGGCUCCAGCUCAGACUCCCCAGUUCCCAGCUGCUGGGUUUCUCCUCCCAGCCUCUCCCUCUUGUCUGCCCUGCCCUGCUGUGCAGCCCCUGCUCUCUCCCCAGCUCAUGGCCUCUCCUUGACCUUGGCUUCAGAGACCUGCUUUCAAACCCCAGCCCUACCUCUCACUAGCUGUGUGACCUUGGGUGAGCCACUGACCCUCUCCCAACCUUUGUUUUCUCAUCUGCAAAACAGAAUAAACAGAGGGCUGUUAUACAGAGUAAAUGAGAAAAUACCCAGAAGAGUGUUAUAAAAAUAAGAUUAAGGACUUUUAUGAACACUGUCUUUGCCUGUGAACUUUUUUUUUUUCCUGGUGAGCUUUUUAUUUUGAGGAAAAAAUAACUUUUCCUUAUCACAAAAGCAAUGCAGGUUAUUUGUAGAAUCUUUAGAAAUUACUGAUAAGCAAAAAGGAAGAAAUUAAAAUCACCCAUAAUCCUAUCAUCCAGAAAUAAGCACUGUGAAACAAACUGGUAUAGGUUCUUCCAGGUGGAUUUAUGUGUAUUUACACAUACUGAUUUUUUGUUUUAAGAAAAAAAUGGACUUCUGCUUAAAUUACAUGGGUUUCUUUCUUUCUUUCUUUCUUUCUUUCUUUUUUUUUUUUUUUUUUUCCUUUCAGAGAGACAGGAUCUCACUAUGUUGUCCAGGCUGGUCUUGAACUCGUGGCCACAAAUGAUCCUCCCACCUCAGCCUCCCAAAGUGUUGGAAUUAUAGGCAUGAACCACCAUGCCCAGGAGGAGAAUUUUUGAUAAUAAUAUUUUGUGGACAUCUUUGCAUAUCAUGUCAGAGCUAUAACAUCAUUGUGGAGAAGCUCUUAGGAUCCCAUAGAAUAAAUGUACCGUAAUUUAUUUACUACUGCUCUGUUGAUUGACAGAUAGAUUGCUUGCAGUAUUUCACUAUCUUAAACAAAUGCUGGGGUGAGCCUCAUUGUUUCUCUGUCUUUUUGCAUUGCUGCUGAUAUUUGCGUAGGAUACAUUUCUAGGCGUGGAAUUGUAGGGUCAAAGGGCAUGUACUUUUUUUAGAGCUUUUGACAAACAUUGCCAAAUUACCCUCCAGAAAGGCUGGACCAAGUUACCCUCCAAGCAGCUGCCUUUGAGAGUGCCUGUUUGCUGGCAUGCUCUCCAGCAUGGGAUGUUAUGCCUGUGGCUUUAUUUUCUGUUUCACUCCAGAAUCCUGUGCUUCCCAGCCAAGGGAGGGAGGGGCCAGGGGUCCUUUCUGGGCCUUCAGAGUUGGAUCCUCCUUCCCACCCUGCUUUCAGCUCGAGCCCUUCUUACAGAGGCUGGACCAGUGGCCCAGAAGUGUCUGGGGGAGUCUGCGGGGGUGGGGUGCGGUCAAUGGGGUGGGCUCUGGGAGGGAGGCCGCCAGCUGGCAGCCUGUGCUAUGCUGACUGGGGAAGGGUGUGAGGGUUGGAAUGCUGGGUGGGAGGGGAGGCCCAGACCCCCACAUAGAAAUUCUGCUGCUUCUCUUCAAGGACAGGGUGGAGACACCCAGUUGAGGGAGAAGGAGGGGGGACAGACAACUCCUGCAGACCCCCAGGCUCAGGCCAGGGCUGAGACCACACAGGCCAGCCUUUUGUGAAGGGAAUUAGAUAGGGACCCUGGCCAAUGUACUCAAGUGAUUCAGGCCUUUGCUCUUAAAAAUAGGAAAAAUUCUACACCCUCCCCAACUUCCCCUUUCCUAUCCAUCCAUUGGUCCAUCCAUCCAUCCAUCCAUCCAUCCAUCUGUCCAUGAUACAUCCAUCCAUCAGACAUCCACUGAAAUCAUUCAGCUCUUGAUUUUUCUUCUUCUUGGAGGGCUCAGUGAUGUCUUCAUUGAGGACCAGGAAGCUAACACUUGUUGAGUGUCAUGUGCCAGGCAUUAGGGGGCCUUGGAAAUGGCCAUGAUGACCCCUGCCCCCAAGGCCCACCCAGCCUAGAGAUGGUGACAGAUACAUCUACAGACAGUGAAGGUGCAGGGGGACUGGGGUUGUGCUGAGGAAAGCAGAGCAGGCAGGGAGGGUCUGUGGAAGCUGACGGAGGCACCCAGCCCAUCCAGGGGAGCGUCAGCCAGGAACAGGCGGUCAGAGGACGGCCUCCAGGAGGAGGGGCCACUGCGGUGGAAGCUGAGCGAGGAGCAAGAGUUAGGCAGGUGAGGAGGAGGUGGAAAGGCCUGGAGGCAGCCAGAGUGCAUGCUCCUGGGAAGGGUGGGGGUCAGUCACCUCAGUCCUCUCUCCUCUCUGAGUCAGCUAAAUGGAAGGUUCUGGAUCUCAGGACAUGAGAUGAUUCUUUCUCUCUGGUCUUCAAAUUCCUAGUGAUCUGGGUAGGAAAUAUGGGACAAUUUGGGCUUCAGAACAGCUCAUUCAUUUUUCACUCAAAUACCACUUCCAGGACACCUGCUGUGUACCAGUUCCUAGGCCAGGUGUGGGAGCUGCCCAGAUGCUGAAGGCCCUCCGUACCGUCCCUCGGGCUGCCAGUCUAGGGCGCAGGAGAGAGCUCUAUCCAUAACUACAGACUUGGGGUGCUUAGGAGGGAAUGGGGAGAGAGCCAAGAAGGCUUCCUGGAGGAGGAGCCAUUUUCCCAGGGC